UUUCUCUUUUCUUUUUCUUAAAUUAAAACAUAUAGAACUCAUCUGAACCAUGAAUCAUUUCAAAUCUAUUAUCCGCCAUUUCAAAAAAAAUAAUUUUAUUAACCAAUCUUUCAAUUUAUUUGAUUUGACAUCAAAAUUUAAGCUAAUUUCUCAAUUGCGAGAAUUAUAUAAAAUAUACUAACUAAAUCUGUAAAGAUAAAUAACACAUUCAAAUUUUAAAGUCAAAAAUAUUAUUAACUGACUUAAAUUAAAUAAAUUAAAAUAUUAGAUAAUUGAUUCAAAAUAAUUUAUAUUUCAGAUAAUUAAGUUCCGUAUAUUUUUACCUUUUUUCUUGAAUUUAC
Molecule: long non-coding RNA, 341 nt
Filed under: Ananas comosus (pineapple)
Lineage: Eukaryota; Viridiplantae; Streptophyta; Magnoliopsida; Poales; Bromeliaceae
Description: long non-coding RNA (ACOM_LNC029928)
Source: RNAcentral